ACCUGGCUGUGGGGCCUCAGCAGCACCAGCAGUGAGCUGGUCAGACGGUCCCGGGGCGCCUUCCAGCACUGACUGCACGGCUGUGUCAGGGCUGUCAUUUGCUCCCAGGGGACAGAGCAUGGGACAUAGCUGGCACCUCUCAGCCUCUAAGAGCUGGCCCGACCCAGGCUCCCCGAGGGGCCUCCUGUGUGACUUUCUCAUCUGCCAGACCUAACAAGUGAGGGGAAUGCAUUCAAUGAAGAGGGAAGAAACUAGUGACAGGCUAAGAGCAGUUCAGAGAAAACUCGAGGGACCACAAGGUGCAGGCAAACAGGGAAGAUUGCGAUGGAUUUUACAAAUAAAUGCAAACUGGCCCAUCCCCAGGGCGCCAACUAC
Molecule: long non-coding RNA, 375 nt
Organism: Suricata suricatta (meerkat)
Lineage: Eukaryota; Metazoa; Chordata; Mammalia; Carnivora; Herpestidae
Exons: 2
Source: RefSeq, a predicted model, not a curated record